UACGGAGGGUGCGAGCGUUGUCCGGAAUCACUGGGCGUAAAGGGCGCGUAGGUGGCUCGUGAAGCGUGCGGUGAAAGUCCGAGGCUCAACCUCGGAUCGGCCGUGCGGACUCGCGGGCUCGAGCGUUGUAGAGGCGGGUGGAAUUCCGGGUGUAGCGGUGGAAUGCGUAGAGAUCCGGAAGAACACCGGUGGCGAAGGCGGCCCGCUGGGCAACUGCUGACACUGAUGCGCGACAGCGUGGGGAGCAAACAGGAUUAGAUACCCUGGUAGUCCACGCCGUAAACGAUGGGCACUAGGUGCUUCGGGGAGCGACCCUCGGAGUGCCGGCGCUAACGCAUUAAGUGCCCCGCCUGGGGAGUACGGCCGCAAGGCUGAAACUCAAAG
Molecule: ribosomal RNA, 384 nt
Filed under: uncultured bacterium
Lineage: Bacteria
Description: bacterial SSU rRNA
Rfam family: Bacterial small subunit ribosomal RNA
Source: RNAcentral